GGCUAGUUGUGGUAUUGCUGGAUCAAAGGGUGUUAUAAGAUAAGUUCAGAGCAGUGUUAGCUUACUGCUUUAAAAUUCUUUGUUUUGCUUUUCUAGAGAAGAAUAUUUUCACUUCUGUCUUUAAAAAGAUUUCUUUUCUGCUGGAAAGCAGUGAAGCUGCAGAAAAGGAAAACAUCAUAGCUAAAGAAACUACCACCACAAUGGAAAACCUUCCUAAUGAUGAUUUUAUUCUAGAAUGUCUCUGGAGAACCAGAAAAAUGGAAUUGAAAAGACAGGAGCUGGCCAUGCAAGCAGCCUGGGAAUGUAAAGCUCAGAAAUUUCUCACUGAAAUCAGAGAGAUACAUGCCAUGGAAAAGAAGGAAACUUCAAAAGAACAAAACAUGACUGAGAAUGAAAACAUAAUUUAUGAUGCUCCAACUCUAGCAUAUUUCCGGAGAAUCAGAAAGAAAUUGAAGCUAGGGAAGAUGAAAAGGUCAUUGAAAAGGACAAUCUUUUUUAUGAUGAUUUGACUCUGGCAUCUCACUUGAGAACCAGGUACACUCACAUACUGCUAGUGGAAU
This 560-nucleotide long non-coding RNA is filed under the name Vombatus ursinus (common wombat). Its description in RNAcentral is "lncRNA (ENSVURG00010019584.1)". The record is from RNAcentral. Lineage: Eukaryota; Metazoa; Chordata; Mammalia; Diprotodontia; Vombatidae.